AAGGACUUGCUGCUGUUGCCUGGUGACAGUUCUUGAAGGACUUUCUCAGGAGCUACAACAACCAGGUCAUCUUGAAAAGGUGGUAGAUCUUGAAUCACAACAUUAGCACCCCCCACUUUCCUCUUUAAAAGAGAGACAAGAAACAGGAUAAAUGGAUGCUAUGGGGGGUAACUUCAAUUUGCAGGCAACAGAACCCACCUUAGCUUCCACGUGAAAUGGGCUAUAAAACCUGGCUGAUAACUUGAAAUUCUUCCUUAGUGCCACAAAUGUCUGUCUACAUGGCCGCAAUUUGAGGUAAACCUAGUCCCCUACUUGAAAAGUCCUCUCAGUCCUUUUCCUAUCAACAUACUGCUUCAUUCUAUUUUGAGCCAUUAACAAAUUCUCCCUAAUUAGCUAAGACGUAUGCUGUCUAUUCUGGACAAAAUUAGCAACAGUGGCUACAGUAGUGGUAUCCAAGGGCAAGAAUGUCAAGGAAGUUGGCUGGUAACCAUAGAGAGCCUCAAAUGGGGACAUUUUCAAGGAAGUACAGUGGCUGGUGUUAUACCACCAUUUUGCUAAUGGUAACCAUUUUGCCCAAGAAUUUGGUUGCUGAUAACAGAGGCAUCUCAAAUACCCUUCCAGGCUCUAAUUUAACCUUUCAGACUAACCAUUUGAUUGAGGAUGGUAGGCUGAACAAUAAGCUAAUUUAGUUCCCAGCAGUUUGGAGAGUUCUUUCCAAGCCAACAAUGUACUUCCCAUAGCUAUAGGCCUCCUAGACAAAGCAUCUGCCACCUUAUUGUCCACCCCUCUCUUGUACAAAAUUCUAUAUUUGCAAACCCCGUAGUUUAGAAACCCCUCUGAAU
RNAcentral lists this unclassified non-coding RNA (842 nucleotides) under Hevea brasiliensis (rubber tree). The record is from RNAcentral. Lineage: Eukaryota; Viridiplantae; Streptophyta; Magnoliopsida; Malpighiales; Euphorbiaceae.